UCACAGUCUAUUUGAUCUUUGUUUUCUGAGAUUAGUAAGAAUUAGGCUAGGGAAAAAGACCCCUUUUUCAAUUGCUCCAUACUACAUUUUUAAACAUGGCUCCCCAAACAUCAGAAAGAAUCUACACUGUUAAUGAAAUACUUUACAUAUUAAAAAGAAAAAUCAUUGAUUUGGACCAUGCAAAAUUCUGAAAUACAUCUCUAUCAUUCCAAUUAUAACAGGUUAAAAACACUAUAGGAAAAAGUGAGGAAGAUAUGUGCCAAAACCUAAGCACCUGAAUCCUGGCGAAAAUCUGCAAUGAGGUAUCUUUUGGAGGUUGUUUUAUUAUAUCAGAAACUUAGUUCUUAAAACACUUAUCCAAAGUCAAUGGAUUUGCUUUAUUUUAUUUAAAAAUAAAGUCAUUCUUGCAGCAAGAGGGCUAAAACCCAGGUAGGUUUCAUUACAAGAAAGGAUUUAGCCAGGCACGGUGGCGCACGCCUGUAAUCCCAGCAUGAGCCACCAUGCCCAGCCAACUUUCUUAAAAACAACUUUUUAUCACUGUGUCCAAUUCUGGGUUUUUAUCACAUUCUCACAAAGUUCUAUACAUCAAAUAAUCUGAGCUGGUUAAAGAAGAUGACAAAAUGAAUGCAACAUUUAAUACAGUUUUUAUUUGUUUAAUUUGGUAAAUGUAGAAUGUAAUGGUUUCAAGGCAAACCCUGGACUACUUCAGUCACAAC
This 716-nucleotide long non-coding RNA is filed under the name Homo sapiens (human). Its description in RNAcentral is "HSALNT0151272". The record is from RNAcentral. Lineage: Eukaryota; Metazoa; Chordata; Mammalia; Primates; Hominidae.